This 483-nucleotide ribosomal RNA is filed under the name uncultured bacterium. Its description in RNAcentral is "bacterial SSU rRNA". It matches the Rfam family "Bacterial small subunit ribosomal RNA", at positions 29 to 507 of the family's 1533-position model. The record is from RNAcentral.
AUGAACGCUAGCGGCAGGCUUAACACAUGCAAGUCGAGGGGCAGCACUUGUAGCAAUACAUGGUGGCGACCGGCGCAAGGGUGCGUAACGCGUGAGCAACAUGCCCGUAUCAGGGGGAUAAUCCAGGGAAACUUGGUCUAAUACCCCAUAGCAAUUAUUUGAGGCAUCUUAAAUAAUUUAAAGCUUUGGUGGAUACGGAUUGGCUCGCGUGACAUUAGCUAGAUGGUGAGGUAACGGCUUACCAUGGCUACGAUGUCUAGGGGUUCUGAGAGGAAGAUCCCCCACACUGGAACUGAGACACGGUCCAGACUCCUACGGGAGGCAGCAGUGAGGAAUAUUGGACAAUGGAUGGAAAUCUGAUCCAGCCAUGCCGCGUGCAGGAAGACGGCCCUAUGGGUUGUAAACUGCUUUUGUGUGGGAGCAAUAAGGUCUAUGCGUAGACUGAUGAGAGUACCAUACGAAUAAGCAUCGGCUAACUCCGUG